AUGAACGCUGGCGGCGUGCCUAAUACAUGCAAGUCGAGCGAACAGACGAGGAGCUUGCUCCUCUGACGUUAGCGGCGGACGGGUGAGUAACACGUGGAUAACCUACCUAUAAGACUGGGGUAACUUCGGGAAACCGGAGCUAAUACCGGAUAAUAUAUUGAACCGCAUGGUUCAAUAGUGAAAGACGGUUUUGCUGUCACUUAUAGAUGGAUCCGCGCCGCAUUAGCUAGUUGGUAAGGUAACGGCUUACCAAGGCAACGAUGCGUAGCCGACCUGAGAGGGUGAUCGGCCACACUGGAACUGAGACACGGUCCAGACUCCUACGGGAGGCAGCAGUAGGGAAUCUUCCGCAGUGGGCGAAAGCCUGACGGAGCAACGCCGCGUGAGUGAUGAAGGUCUUCGGAUCGUAAAACUCUGUUAUUAGGGAAGAACAAAUGUGUAAGUAACUAUGCACGUCUUGACGGUACCUAAUCAGAAAGCCACGGCUAACUACGU
RNAcentral lists this ribosomal RNA (495 nucleotides) under uncultured bacterium. RNAcentral's name for it is "partial 16S ribosomal RNA". It matches the Rfam family "Bacterial small subunit ribosomal RNA", at positions 29 to 506 of the family's 1533-position model. The record is from RNAcentral.